Molecule: ribosomal RNA, 406 nt
Filed under: uncultured bacterium
Lineage: Bacteria
Description: partial 16S ribosomal RNA
Rfam family: Bacterial small subunit ribosomal RNA
Source: RNAcentral
AUUGAACGCUGGCGGCAGGCCUAACACAUGCACGUCGAACGAGUGGCGGACGGGAGAGUAAUGUCUGGGAAACUGCCUGAUGGAGGGGUCUAACUACUGGAAACGGUAGCUAAUACCGCAUACCAUCGGUUCUGCCCAGAUGGGAUUAGCUAGUCGGUGGGGUAACGGCUCACCUAGGCGACGAUCCCUAGCUGGUCCGAGAGGAUGACCAGCCACACUGGAACUGAGACACGGUCCAGACUCCUACGGGAGGCAGCAGUGGGGAAUAUUGCACAAUGGGCGCAAGCCUGAUGCAGCCAUGCCGCGUGUGUGAAGAAGGCCUUCGGGUUGUAAAGUACUUUCAGCGGGGAGGCGUUACCCGCAGAAGAAGCACCGGCUAACUCCGUGCCAGCAGCCGCGGUAAUUC